AGUAAAGCUAUGACUGGAACGAGUAGGUCGAAUGAGCAGUGUCAGCGAGUUAGGGUAUUGGUGUGAGCCUAAUCUCUGCAGCGUACCGAAUAUCCCCCAGGAGCGUCUCUUGAAGCGAGUAGAGAGAAACGGGUCAUGCCGUUACACAUGAUCGAGUGAUUAAGCUUAUGUUCGUUACACCUGAGUGUGUAAGUUCAUUUAGCUUUUUAACGAGGGUGGUACCGCGAGCUAGAGUUUCUCGUCCCUUUU
RNAcentral lists this non-coding RNA (249 nucleotides) under Paenibacillus sp. RNAcentral describes it as "T-box sequence". It matches the Rfam family "T-box leader". Rfam says of the family: Uncharged tRNA acts as the effector for transcription antitermination of genes in the T-box leader family. The record is from RNAcentral. Lineage: Bacteria; Bacillati; Bacillota; Bacilli; Caryophanales; Paenibacillaceae.